GCCAGCAGCCAUGUCACCCUGCAACUUACAAUUGGCAGCCCACUAAAGCUAAGCAGGUGUGAGCCUGGUCAGUACCUGGAUAGGAGACCUCCUGGGAAAAACUAAGGUUGCUGCUGGAA
Lepisosteus oculatus (spotted gar) is the source of this 119-nucleotide ribosomal RNA. The record is from Ensembl. NCBI's taxonomy places the organism in Eukaryota, Metazoa, Chordata, Actinopteri, Semionotiformes, Lepisosteidae.